This 77-nucleotide transfer RNA is filed under the name Labrys monachus. RNAcentral's name for it is "tRNA-Pro". It matches the Rfam family "tRNA". From Rfam's summary of the family: Transfer RNA (tRNA) molecules are approximately 80 nucleotides in length. RNAcentral also lists the same sequence under 3 other names. Lineage: Bacteria; Pseudomonadati; Pseudomonadota; Alphaproteobacteria; Hyphomicrobiales; Xanthobacteraceae. The record is from RNAcentral.
CGGGGUAUGGCGCAGCCUGGUAGCGCGACAGUUUUGGGUACUGUAGGUCGUAGGUUCGAAUCCUGCUGCCCCGACCA